AGUGAACGCUGGCGGUAGGCCUAACACAUGCAAGUCGAACGGCAGCACAGUAAGAGCUUGCUCUUACGGGUGGCGAGUGGCGGACGGGUGAGGAAUACAUCGGAAUCUACUUUUUCGUGGGGGAUAACGUAGGGAAACUUACGCUAAUACCGCAUACGACCUACGGGUGAAAGCAGGGGAUCUUCGGACCUUGCGCGAUUGAAUGAGCCGAUGUCGGAUUAGCUAGUUGGCGGGGUAAAGGCCCACCAAGGCGACGAUCCGUAGCUGGUCUGGGAGGAUGAUCAGCCACACUGGAACUGAGACACGGUCCAGACUCCUACGGGAGGCAGCAGUGGGGAAUAUUGGACAAUGGGCACAAGCCUGAUCCAGCCAUACCGCGUGGGUGAAGAAGGCCUUCGGGUUGUAAAGCCCUUUUGUUGGGAAAGAAAAGCAGCAGGUUAAUACCCCGCUGUUCUGACGGUACCCAAAGAAUAAGCACCGGCUAACUUCGUG
This 492-nucleotide ribosomal RNA is filed under the name uncultured bacterium. RNAcentral's name for it is "partial 16S ribosomal RNA". It matches the Rfam family "Bacterial small subunit ribosomal RNA", at positions 29 to 507 of the family's 1533-position model. The record is from RNAcentral.